RNAcentral lists this ribosomal RNA (585 nucleotides) under Escherichia coli. RNAcentral describes it as "partial 23S ribosomal RNA". It matches the Rfam family "Bacterial large subunit ribosomal RNA", at positions 315 to 905 of the family's 2925-position model. Lineage: Bacteria; Pseudomonadati; Pseudomonadota; Gammaproteobacteria; Enterobacterales; Enterobacteriaceae. The record is from RNAcentral.
AAUCAGUAUGUGUGUUAGUGGAAGCGUCUGGAAAGGCGCGCGAUACAGGGUGACAGCCCCGUACACAAAAAUGCACAUGCUGUGAGCUCGAUGAGUAGGGCGGGACACGUGGUAUCCUGUCUGAAUAUGGGGGGACCAUCCUCCAAGGCUAAAUACUCCUGACUGACCGAUAGUGAACCAGUACCGUGAGGGAAAGGCGAAAAGAACCCCGGCGAGGGGAGUGAAAAAGAACCUGAAACCGUGUACGUACAAGCAGUGGGAGCACGCUUAGGCGUGUGACUGCGUACCUUUUGUAUAAUGGGUCAGCGACUUAUAUUCUGUAGCAAGGUUAACCGAAUAGGGGAGCCGAAGGGAAACCGAGUCUUAACUGGGCGUUAAGUUGCAGGGUAUAGACCCGAAACCCGGUGAUCUAGCCAUGGGCAGGUUGAAGGUUGGGUAACACUAACUGGAGGACCGAACCGACUAAUGUUGAAAAAUUAGCGGAUGACUUGUGGCUGGGGGUGAAAGGCCAAUCAAACCGGGAGAUAGCUGGUUCUCCCCGAAAGCUAUUUAGGUAGCGCCUCGUGAAUUCAUCUCCGGGGGUAG